ACAGCAGUCGCCACGGGAAUACGAGGGGGGCAAGCGUUGUUCGGAAUUAUUGGGCGUAAAGGGUGCGUAGGCGGCUUGACAAGUCUUGUGUGAAAUCUAUGGGCUCAACCCAUAGUCUGCACGGGAAACUGUCGGGCUUGAGAAUGGGAGAGGUGAGUGGAAUUUCCGGUGUAGCGGUGAAAUGCGUAGAUAUCGGAAGGAACACCUGUGGCGAAAGCGGCUCACUGGACCAUUUCUGACGCUGAUGCACGAAAGCUAGGGGAACAAACAGGAUUAGAUACCCGAGUAGUCCCUGUCUCUUAUAU
This 305-nucleotide ribosomal RNA is filed under the name uncultured bacterium. Its description in RNAcentral is "partial 16S ribosomal RNA". It matches the Rfam family "Bacterial small subunit ribosomal RNA", at positions 505 to 809 of the family's 1533-position model. The record is from RNAcentral.